RNAcentral lists this ribosomal RNA (1372 nucleotides) under metagenome. Its description in RNAcentral is "bacterial LSU rRNA". It matches the Rfam family "Bacterial large subunit ribosomal RNA", at positions 1533 to 2925 of the family's 2925-position model. The record is from RNAcentral.
AAGUACACUUCCCGGGAAGGCUGAGUGCUGACAGGACCGAAAAAGAGUAGGGAAGCGUCUGAGUUCACGCUGGCGAGAAAAGCUGCUAAGGAGAGUGUGAGUGCCCGUACCGGAAACCGACGCAGGUGGGCGAGGAGAGAAUCCUGAGACGGACGGGAGAACUCUUGUUAAGAAACUCGGCAAAAUGACCCCGUAACUUCGGGAGAAGGGGUGCCUCGAAAGAGGCCGCAGAGAAUAGUCACAAGCGACUGUUUAGCCAAAACACAGGUAUCUGCGAAAGCGAGAGCUGACGUAUAGGUGCUGACGCCUGCCCGGUGCUGGAAGGUUAAGGGGAAGUGUUAGGGGAAACCCGAAGCAGAGAACCGAAGCCCCAGUAAACGGCGGCCGUAACAAUAACGGUCCUAAGGUAGCGAAAUUCCUUGUCGGGUAAGUUCCGACCCGCACGAAUGGCGUAACGACUUGUGAGCUGUCUCAACAGGAGGCCCGGUGAAAUUGAAGUAUGUGUGAAGAUGCACAUUACCCGCGACUGGACGGAAAGACCCCGUAGAGCUUUACUGUAACCUGACAUUGGAUCUUGAUAACGGAUGCACAGGAUAGGUGGGACGCUGGGAGGUAUGGACUUUGGUCUGUACGGAGCGGACGUUGGGAUACCACUCUUCUGUUAUUGAGAUUCUAACCUCAAGCCGUAAGCCGGAUGAGAGACAGUGUCAGGCGGACAGUUUGACUGGGGCGGUCGCCUCCGAAAGAGUAACGGAGGCGCCCAAAGGUACCCUCAGAAUGGAUGGAAACCAUUCGAAGAGAGCAAAGUCAGAAGGGUGCUUGACUGCGAGACCAACAAGUCGAGCAGGUACGAAAGUAGGGCUUAGUGAUCCGGCGGUAAGAGAGUGUAAUUGCCGUCGCUCAACGGAUAAAAGCUACCUCGCGGAUAACAGGCUGAUCUCCCCCAAGAGUUCACAUCGACGGGGAGGUUUGGCACCUGGAUGUCGGCUCGUCGCAUCCUGGGGCUGAAGCAGGUCCCAAGGGUUUGGCUGUUCGCCAAUUAAAGCGGCACGCGAGCUGGGUUCAGAACGUCGUGAGACAGUUCGGUCCCUAUCCAUCGUGGGCGAAGGACACAUGAGAGGAGCUGCUCCUAGUACGAGAGGACCGGAGUGGACGCAUCACUGGUGCAACUGUUGUCGUGCCAACGGCACAGCAGGGAAGCGAAAUGCGGAUGGGAUAAACGCUGAAGGCAUCUAAGCGUGAAGCCCACCUCAAGAAUAAGUGUCCCAUUCGAAAGAAGUAAGACCCCUGGAAGACUACCAGGUGAUAGGUCAUCGGUGAAAGAGCGGUAACGUUCGGAGCUUGAUGAUACUAAUCGGUCGAGGACUUGAUC